This 628-nucleotide ribosomal RNA is filed under the name uncultured bacterium. Its description in RNAcentral is "bacterial SSU rRNA". It matches the Rfam family "Bacterial small subunit ribosomal RNA", at positions 231 to 859 of the family's 1533-position model. The record is from RNAcentral.
AUGCGUGACAUUAGCUAGUUGGUAGGGUAACGGCCUACCAAGGCUACGAUGUCUAGGGGUUCUGAGAGGAAGAUCCCCCACACUGGUACUGAGACACGGACCAGACUCCUACGGGAGGCAGCAGUGAGGAAUAUUGGUCAAUGGGCGAGAGCCUGAACCAGCCAUCCCGCGUGCAGGAAGAAUGCCCUAUGGGUUGUAAACUGCUUUUUCGCAUGAAGAACACCCCUGACGUGUCAGGGGCUGACGGUAAUGCGUGAAUAAGCACCGGCUAACUCCGUGCCAGCAGCCGCGGUAAUACGGAGGGUGCAAGCGUUAUCCGGAUUUAUUGGGUUUAAAGGGUGCGUAGGCGGCUUUUUAAGUCAGUGGUGAAAUCCUGCAGCUCAACUGUAGAACAGCCAUUGAAACUGAAGAGCUUGAGUAAUCUUGAGGUAGGCGGAAUGUGUAGUGUAGCGGUGAAAUGCUUAGAUAUUACACAGAACACCGAUUGCGAAGGCAGCUUACUAAGGAUUUACUGACGCUGAUGCACGAAAGCGUGGGGAUCAAACAGGAUUAGAUACCCUGGUAGUCCACGCCGUAAACGAUGAUAACUCGCUGUUGGCGAUACACAGUCAGCGGCUUAGCGAAAGCG